UGAGAGGGCCUGGAUUAAACUGCC
RNAcentral lists this non-coding RNA (24 nucleotides) under Rattus norvegicus (Norway rat). The record is from RNAcentral. Lineage: Eukaryota; Metazoa; Chordata; Mammalia; Rodentia; Muridae.